UAAUACGGAAGGUCCGGGCGUUAUCCGGAUUUAUUGGGUUUAAAGGGAGCGUAGGCCGUUUGGUAAGCGUGUUGUGAAAUGUCGGGGCUCAACCUGGGCAUUGCAGCGCGAACUGCCAGACUUGAGUGCGCAGGAAGUAGGCGGAAUUCGUCGUGUAGCGGUGAAAUGCUUAGAUAUGACGAAGAACUCCGAUUGCGAAGGCAGCCUGCUGUAGCGCAACUGACGCUGAAGCUCGAAAGCGUGGGUAUCGAACAGGAUUAGAUACCCUGGUAGUCCACGCGGUAAACGAUGGAUGCUCGCUGUUUGCGUCUGACGUAAGCGGCCAAGCGAAAGCGUUAAGCAUCCCACCUGGGGAGUACGCCGGCAACGGUG
Molecule: ribosomal RNA, 372 nt
Filed under: uncultured bacterium
Lineage: Bacteria
Description: bacterial SSU rRNA
Rfam family: Bacterial small subunit ribosomal RNA
Source: RNAcentral